This 73-nucleotide transfer RNA is filed under the name Russula compacta. RNAcentral's name for it is "tRNA-Asn". It matches the Rfam family "tRNA". From Rfam's summary of the family: Transfer RNA (tRNA) molecules are approximately 80 nucleotides in length. Their secondary structure includes four short double-helical elements and three loops (D, anti-codon, and T loops). The record is from RNAcentral. Lineage: Eukaryota; Fungi; Basidiomycota; Agaricomycetes; Russulales; Russulaceae.
GGUGUUAUGGCAGAGAGGUCAUUGCGGAGUACUGUUAAUACUUUAUUCAUAGGUUCGAUUCCUAUUAACACCU